CGUGCGCUCCCUCUAGGGCACGUGGUAAGCUCAUGUGUGUACACGCGCGUUGUUAUGUAGCCCUGCAGAAUGUGCAGAAGGAAAUUGGUUGCACGUCGUCUUGUUUUCAGUUCCGUAGCUGAACUCGUAGCUCUAUCCGUCAUGGGAGCGAUAGAGCGCUGAAAUUGACUAAGUGCUACCUUCAACCCUUCCAGUGAUGUCUUCUGCUUGUGGUAUCACAACUUUGAGAUGAGACCUCUGUUUGUCAUCAAUUUCAUUGGCACUUGUAUCUGGUAAUGUUGCCACACAAGCAGUUAGACAAUGUUUUGCACACACUUUGUGGAUAUGUUUGCAUAGGUGCCCUGUUGCAAAGUCGUAGCAGGUACACUGAAACAUGUGCCGACAGCAGCCACAGAUGGCACAUGUGAAAGAUGCACAACUGGAGUUGGGACAACAUGGAUGUUUCCUUCACAUUCCUGUGUGUAUGUGUGAUAUUCAGUUUAUAAUGAGUGUGUAAACGUAGCUUAUUUGCAUUUAUGUACCUCCACAUCUGCAUCGCUGAUCAGAAUUCUCCGGUCAUGUCGUGUCUCUUCUUGUUUUGUCCUAGGAUUGAGUGUAUGCCAGCGUUGUUUUUUCUGUACAUCAAGAGAUGUUUGCCAAAUAAGAGGGAUGUCUCUUCAGUUUGCUGUGGAAACUGCAAGAAAGAAACAGUAUACAUCAGCUACUGUGAAAUCAAGGGUGAUGUUUUAGUGACCAUUGAGUGUUCCUUGAUAGUCAAGGUACAUUGUAAUCUACAAUAAUUGGUCAAGUUCAUUUAACCCUG
This is a long non-coding RNA of Corticium candelabrum, 802 nucleotides long. RefSeq lists it as uncharacterized. Lineage: Eukaryota; Metazoa; Porifera; Homoscleromorpha; Homosclerophorida; Plakinidae. The transcript has 5 exons. The record is from RefSeq and is a predicted model, not a curated record.